This 496-nucleotide ribosomal RNA is filed under the name uncultured bacterium. RNAcentral's name for it is "bacterial SSU rRNA". It matches the Rfam family "Bacterial small subunit ribosomal RNA", at positions 28 to 517 of the family's 1533-position model. The record is from RNAcentral.
GAUGAACGCUAGCUACAGGCUUAACACAUGCAAGUCGAGGGGCAGCAUUAGGUAGCAAUACUGAGAUGGCGACCGGCGCACGGGUGCGUAACGCGUAUCCAACCUUCCCGUUACUCUCGGAUAGCCUUCCGAAAGGGAGAUUAAUACGAGACGGUGUUGAAAUUCCGCAUGUUAUUUCAACUAAAGAUUCAUCGGUAACGGAUGGGGAUGCGUGACAUUAGGUAGAUGGCGGGGUAACGCCCACAUGCCUACGAUGUCUAGGGGUUCUGAGAGGAAGGUCCCCCACACUGGAACUGAGACACGGUCCAGACUCCUACGGGAGGCAGCAGUGAGGAAUAUUGGUCAAUGGUCGGAAGACUGAACCAGCCAAGUAGCGUGAAGGAUGAAAGGUUCUAUGGAUUGUAAAACUUCUUUUAUACGGGAAUAAAACCACCUACGUGUAGGUGCUUGUAUGUACCGUAUGAAUAAGCAUCGGCUAACUCCGUGCCAGCAGCCG